UACGUAGGGUGCAAGCGUUGUCCGGAAUUAUUGGGCGUAAAGAGCUCGUAGGCGGUGUGUCGCGUCGGCCGUGAAAACCUGCAGCUUAACUGUGGGCUUGCGGUCGAUACGGGCAUCACUGGAGUUCGGCAGGGGAGACUGGAAUUCCUGGUGUAGCGGUGAAAUGCGCAGAUAUCAGGAGGAACACCGGUGGCGAAGGCGGGUCUCUGGGCAACAACGUGACGCUGAGGAGCGAAAGCGUGGGGGAGCGAACAGG
This 256-nucleotide ribosomal RNA is filed under the name uncultured bacterium. Its description in RNAcentral is "partial 16S ribosomal RNA". It matches the Rfam family "Bacterial small subunit ribosomal RNA", at positions 524 to 776 of the family's 1533-position model. The record is from RNAcentral.